UCAGAAACUCAAAGGAAUUGACGGGGGCCCGCACAAGCGGUGGAGUAUGUGGUUUAAUUCGAUGCAACGCGAAGAACCUUACCUGGUCUUGACAUCCCGGAGACCCUUAGGAAACUAGGGGGUGCUUCCAUCUGGAAGAAUCUGGAGACAGGUGCUGCAUGGCUGUCGUCAGCUCGUGUCGUGAGAUGUUGGGUUAAGUCCCGCAACGAGCGCAACCCUUGCCUUUAGUUGCCAGCAGUUCGGCUGGGCACUCUAAAGGGACUGCCGGUGUUAAACCGGAGGAAGGUGGGGAUGACGUCAAGUCCUCAUGGCCUUUAUGACCAGGGCUACACACGUACUACAAUGGCCGAUACAAAGGGCAGCGACACUGCGAGGUGAAGCCAAUCCCGUAAAAUCGGUCUCAGUCCGGAUUGGAGUCUGCAACUCGACUCCAUGAAGUUGGAAUCGCUAGUAAUCGUGGAUCAGCAUGCCACGGUGAAUACGUUCCCGGGCCUU
Molecule: ribosomal RNA, 495 nt
Filed under: uncultured Desulfobulbus sp.
Lineage: Bacteria; Pseudomonadati; Thermodesulfobacteriota; Desulfobulbia; Desulfobulbales; Desulfobulbaceae
Description: bacterial SSU rRNA
Rfam family: Bacterial small subunit ribosomal RNA
Source: RNAcentral